UACGGGGGGAGCAAGCGUUGUUCGGAUUUACUGGGCGUAAAGGGCGCGUAGGCGGUCAGCACAAGUCAGUUGUGAAAUCUCCGGGCUUAACUCGGAAAGGUCAACUGAUACUGCGCGACUAGAGUGCAGAAGGGGCAACUGGAAUUCUCGGUGUAGCGGUGAAAUGCGUAGAUAUCGAGAGGAACACCUGCGGCGAAGGCGGGUUGCGGGGCUGCCACUGACGCUGCGGCGCGAAAGCCAGGGGAGCGAACGGG
Molecule: ribosomal RNA, 254 nt
Filed under: uncultured bacterium
Lineage: Bacteria
Description: partial 16S ribosomal RNA
Rfam family: Bacterial small subunit ribosomal RNA
Source: RNAcentral